RNAcentral lists this ribosomal RNA (734 nucleotides) under Diatrype rubi. RNAcentral's name for it is "Diatrype sp. SL-2022b partial large subunit ribosomal RNA". It matches the Rfam family "Eukaryotic large subunit ribosomal RNA", at positions 111 to 867 of the family's 3401-position model. The record is from RNAcentral. Lineage: Eukaryota; Fungi; Ascomycota; Sordariomycetes; Xylariales; Diatrypaceae.
AAAUUUGAAAUCUGGCCUUCGGGUCCGAGUUGUAAUUUGUAGAGGAUGCUUUUGGUGCGGUGCCUUCCGAGUUCCUUGGAACAGGACGCCUUAGAGGGUGAGAGCCCCGUACGGUUGGACACCAAGCCUUUGUAAAGCUCCUUCGACGAGUCGAGUAGUUUGGGAAUGCUGCUCUAAAUGGGAGGUAAAUUUCUUCUAAAGCUAAAUACCGGCCAGAGACCGAUAGCGCACAAGUAGAGUGAUCGAAAGAUGAAAAGUACUUUGAAAAGAGGGUUAAAUAGCACGUGAAAUUGUUGAAAGGGAAGCGUUUAUGACCAGACCUUUGCCAGGCGGAUCAUCCGGUGUUCUUCACCGGUGCACUUCGCCUGGCUCAGGCCAGCAUCGAUUUCUGUAGGGGGACAAAGACCAUGGGAACGUAGCUCUCUUCGGGGAGUGUUAUAGCCCUAGGUGUAAUACCCUUACGGGGAUCGAGGUUCGCGCUUCUGCAAGGAUGCUGGCGUAAUGGUCAUCAAUGACCCGUCUUGAAACACGGACCAAGGAGUCGAACAUUUAUGCGAGUGUUUGGGUGUUAAACCCUCACGCGUAAUGAAAGUGAACGGAGGUGAGAGCCUUGUAUUAGGUGCAUCAUCGACCGAUCCUGAUGUAUUCGGAAGGAUUUGAGUAAGAGCAUAACUGUUCGGACCCGAAAGAUGGUGAACUAUGCGUGGAUAGGGUGAAGCCAGAGGAAACUCUGG